RNAcentral lists this ribosomal RNA (291 nucleotides) under uncultured bacterium. RNAcentral describes it as "partial 16S ribosomal RNA". It matches the Rfam family "Bacterial small subunit ribosomal RNA", at positions 505 to 796 of the family's 1533-position model. The record is from RNAcentral.
GUGCCAGCAGCCGCGGUAAUACGUAGGGGCCAAGCGUUAUCCGGAAUUAUUGGGCGUAAAGGGCGUGUAGGCGGCCUGAUAAGUCAGAUGUUAAAUCUACAGGCUCAACCUGUAGCCGCAUUUGAUACUGUCGGGCUAGAGAGUGGUAGAGGAAAGUGGAACUUACGGUGUAGCGGUGAAAUGCGUAGAUAUCGUAAGGAACACCAGUGGCGAAGGCGACUUUCUGGGCCACUUCUGACGCUGAGACGCGAAAGCCAGGGGAGCAAACGGGAUUAGAUACCCUAGUAGUCC